CUAAGACUGUCCCUCGUGACAACUGUCAUCUUCAUCCUAUUGUCCUCUUCAACACCUGGAACUUUAGUUGCCAAGAGCUACAUCGGGUCUAUACUCUCUCACAUACCUGAAAGUAUGACACUGAGGUCUAUGGAGGAUCCUGAGCAAUUGCGGCCUCCUCCAUUGACAGAGCCUGAAUCCCACAGCUAUCAUUUGCGAUGGCUGCUGGGAUUGGACAAAGGUUGUCCAACCUUGGGCUUUACCAUAAAACAUAGUAGUCCC
This is a non-coding RNA of Pelobates cultripes (western spadefoot toad), 261 nucleotides long. Lineage: Eukaryota; Metazoa; Chordata; Amphibia; Anura; Pelobatidae. The record is from the annotation of a GenBank genome assembly.